GACGAACGCUGGCGGCGUGCCUAAUACAUGCAAGUCGAACGCAAUUGCGCACGGGUGAGUAACGCGUAGGUAACUGCCUGGUAGCGGGGGAUAACUAUUGGAAACGAUAGCUAAUACAGCAUACUACCAGAUGGACCUGCGUUGUAUUAGCUAGUUGGUGAGGUAACGUCUCACCAAGGCAACGAUACAUAGCCGACCUGAGAGGGUGAUCGGCCACACCGGGACUGGGACACGGCCCAGACGCCUACGGGAGGCAGCAGUAGGGAAUCUUCGGGAAUGGGGGGAACACUGAACGAGCAACGCCGCGGGAGGGAAGAAGGUUUUCGGAUCGUAAAGCACUGUUGUUAAGGAAGCGGUACUUAACCAGAAAGGGACGGCUAACUACGUGUCAGCAGCCGCGGUAAUUC
RNAcentral lists this ribosomal RNA (407 nucleotides) under uncultured bacterium. RNAcentral's name for it is "partial 16S ribosomal RNA". It matches the Rfam family "Bacterial small subunit ribosomal RNA", at positions 28 to 526 of the family's 1533-position model. The record is from RNAcentral.